Molecule: ribosomal RNA, 481 nt
Filed under: uncultured bacterium
Lineage: Bacteria
Description: partial 16S ribosomal RNA
Rfam family: Bacterial small subunit ribosomal RNA
Source: RNAcentral
GACGAACGCUGGCGGCGUGCUUAACACAUGCAAGUCGAACGCUGAAGCCCUUCGGGGUGGAUGAGUGGCGAACGGGUGAGUAACACGUGGGUAAUCUGCCCUGCACUCUGGGAUAAGCCUUGGAAACGGGGUCUAAUACCGGAUAGGACACAUCGCCGCAUGGUGUGUGUGUGGAAAGUUCCGGCGGUGCAGGUUGAGCCCGCGGCCUAUCAGCUUGUUGGUGGGGUGAUGGCAUACCAAGGCGACGACGGGUAGCCGGCCUGAGAGGGUGACCAGCCACACUGGGAGUGGGACAGGGCGCAGACGCGUACGGGAGGCAGCGGUGGCGGUUCUUGCCGAGUGGGCGAAAGCCGGAGGCAGCAACGCCGCGUUAGGGAUGACGGCCUUCAGGUUGUAAACCUCUUUCAAAAGGGACGAAGGGUUCGUUUGACUGUACCGGUAGAAGCAGCACCGGCUAACUACGUGCCAGCAGCCGCGGUAA